Molecule: transfer RNA, 74 nt
Filed under: Staphylococcus pseudintermedius
Lineage: Bacteria; Bacillati; Bacillota; Bacilli; Caryophanales; Staphylococcaceae
Description: tRNA-Pro
Rfam family: tRNA
About the family: Transfer RNA (tRNA) molecules are approximately 80 nucleotides in length. Their secondary structure includes four short double-helical elements and three loops (D, anti-codon, and T loops). Further hydrogen bonds mediate the characteristic L-shaped molecular structure. tRNAs have two regions of fundamental functional importance: the anti-codon, which is responsible for specific mRNA codon recognition, and the 3' end, to which the tRNAs corresponding amino acid is attached (by aminoacyl-tRNA synthetases). tRNAs cope with the degeneracy of the genetic code in two manners: having more than one tRNA (with a specific anti-codon) for a particular amino acid; and 'wobble' base-pairing, i.e. permitting non-standard base-pairing at the 3rd anti-codon position.
Source: RNAcentral
CGGGAAGUAGCUCAGCUUGGUAGAGCACUUGGUUUGGGACCAAGGAGUCGCAGGUUCAAAUCCUGUCUUCCCGA